This 77-nucleotide transfer-messenger RNA is filed under the name Chloroflexota bacterium. RNAcentral's name for it is "Chloroflexi bacterium partial transfer-messenger RNA". It matches the Rfam family "transfer-messenger RNA", at positions 296 to 374 of the family's 374-position model. Rfam says of the family: Bacterial tmRNA, also known as 10Sa RNA or SsrA, is named for its dual tRNA and mRNA-like properties. Lineage: Bacteria; Bacillati; Chloroflexota. The record is from RNAcentral.
CAAAACCGGGAGUACGCUCGUAGAUGUCUUGCGGGACGCUGCUUCGGACGCGAGUUCGAUUCUCGCCGCCUCCACCA